CAUCAUACCCCAAUUUGAUCCAAAAUUUGAGUCGCUCUUUUCGGGUUUUCAACUCAAGUCCGCUUUGGUCUCAAGGCGCCCUUUGCAGGUUUUCACCUUGGCCUCUCCUUUUUCUUUUCAUUUCUUCUUUCUUUUCUUCUUUCCUUUCUUUUUUCUCUUUUCUCUUUUUUUUUUUUUUCUUUUUUUCUUUUUUGAAUAUGAACUUAUAGGAUUAGGCAUGUCCUUAUUAUCCUUUCCGAUCAAGAUUGAAGCUUUUCCAGAUAAGGCCUUCCUAGUUUGGCAUUCAUUUUAUAUGAGGAGGAUCUUCUUCAAUACCA
Molecule: long non-coding RNA, 317 nt
Filed under: Gossypium raimondii (Peruvian cotton)
Lineage: Eukaryota; Viridiplantae; Streptophyta; Magnoliopsida; Malvales; Malvaceae
Description: long non-coding RNA (GRAI_LNC000674)
Source: RNAcentral